CGGAAUUAGAACUCUGUAGGAAUGAUACGGCUGCGCUCCAUUUCAAAUUAGUCGCCAUCGCCUCGAUUCUAACAUCGGGAGUCAUCGGAAUCGCCAUUCCGUUGUUUGGUAGACAGAGUCGGUUCCUCAAAACAGACGGCAACCUGUUUGUGGCGGCGAAGGCGUUUGCCGCCGGUGUGAUUCUAGCCACCGCCUUCGUCCAUAUGCUUCCGGAUGGAUCGAAGGCCCUCUCCGAUCCGUGCUUGCCGGAAUUUCCUUGGUCUAAAUUCCCCUUCUCUGGAUUCUUCGCGAUGAUGG
This 297-nucleotide unclassified non-coding RNA is filed under the name Hevea brasiliensis (rubber tree). The record is from RNAcentral. Lineage: Eukaryota; Viridiplantae; Streptophyta; Magnoliopsida; Malpighiales; Euphorbiaceae.